GACUACAGGGGUAUCUAAUCCUGUUUGCUCCCCACGCUUUCGUGCCUCAGCGUCAAUCAUCGCAUAGUAAGCUGCCUUCGCAAUUGGUGUUCUGUAACAUAUCUAAGCAUUUCACCGCUACAUGCAACAUUCCGCUUACCUCUACGACAUUCAAGACUGGCAGUAUCAAUGGCAGUUUCCAAGUUAAGCUCGGAGCUUUCACCACUGACUUAUCAGCCCGCCUACGCACCCUUUAAACCCAGUGAAUCCGGAUAACGCUUGCACCCUCCGUAUUACCGCGGCUGCUGGCACGGAGUUAGCCGGUGCUUAUUCCUCUGGUACCGUCAAGUUCCUAAGAAUAGGAGUGUUUCUUCCCAGAUAAAAGAUAUUUACAACCCAGAGGGCCUUCAUCUAUCACGCGGCAUGGCUGGAUCAGAGUUUCCUCCAUUGUCCAAUAUUCCCCACUGCAGCCUCCCGUAGG
RNAcentral lists this ribosomal RNA (460 nucleotides) under uncultured Chitinophagaceae bacterium. RNAcentral's name for it is "partial 16S ribosomal RNA". Lineage: Bacteria; Pseudomonadati; Bacteroidota; Chitinophagia; Chitinophagales; Chitinophagaceae. The record is from RNAcentral.